GUGGACGAUCACAGAAUUAGCACGAAUAGCAGUAGCUAUGCGAGUUGUAAGACCUAUAAGAAAGACUCUGCUAGAAGCAAUGCUUCCUCCCAUACGUACCUGGACCUAGAAGAGUGUACACGUCAUAUCGAACUUGAACGAUGCAACAGCAUUGCUACAGAAAUUUCUUUUUCCGACUUGGCACAUCGCAGGACUUUGGAUACGGAUGUGCAUGGGAUUCGAAAAGCGACUGCAAAUAAUCCUCCAAUAAUAC
Long non-coding RNA from Saccostrea cuccullata (small rock oyster), 253 nucleotides. RefSeq lists it as uncharacterized. The record is from RefSeq and is a predicted model, not a curated record. The transcript has 4 exons. Lineage: Eukaryota; Metazoa; Mollusca; Bivalvia; Ostreida; Ostreidae.